GCCUUUUCUACAGUGAUGUUAUUGAUCAAUGUGCAGCUGCUAUUACUCUUAAAGCUUUGGAUGCCGUCUACCGUAGUGCCCUUUGUUUUGUUACAGCAGACAGUUUUGAUACUCAUCACUGCAUUCUGUAUCAAAAGACACCUGAGUUGUCUGACCGUUCACAGGAUUGGUUAACUUUUGAGGUUCCUAGGGUCUCCACCGAGCUAGAAUUUGGCAGUAUGUCCAACCGGCCUCACAACCGCAGACCAUGUGUAACCACGCCAGCCCAGGACCUCCACAUCCGGCUUCUUCACCUGCAGGAUCACCUCAUACCAGCCACCCGGACAGCUUAUGCAACUGAGGAGUAUUUCUGUCUGUAAUUAAGCACUUUUGGGGGGAAAAACUGAUUCUGAUUGGCUGGGUCUGGCUUCCAAGUGGGUGGGCCUGGUUCCCAAGUGGGUGGGCCUAUGCUGCACCCCUGCCCUGUCAUGUGAAAUCCAUAGAUUUAUUUAAAUUGACUGAUUUCCUUAUUUGAACUGUAACUCGUAUUGUUGUUGCAACAAUUUAUAUUUUUGUUCAGUAUAAGAUACCUGUAGCUAGCUAGCUACCUAUUAGCCAUCAUAUUGCUAGCUUUCGUUUCAGCACCUUGCUUGACUGAUCUGUCUUAGCAACAGUAACUAUACGGCGGAGUUGUGGGAGAGAAUUUUUGUUACAUUUUUUAUUUAUUUUAUUAACAACAAAUCAAUACAGGAAGUACAUGUGGGAACACAAUUAUAUAUGAAUAAUAUACAAUGGACAAUUGGGCUAGGGGCGGG
RNAcentral lists this long non-coding RNA (794 nucleotides) under Salmo salar (Atlantic salmon). RNAcentral describes it as "lncRNA (ENSSSAG00000098576.1, ENSSSAG00000113038.1)". The record is from RNAcentral. Lineage: Eukaryota; Metazoa; Chordata; Actinopteri; Salmoniformes; Salmonidae.